Long non-coding RNA from Pyrus x bretschneideri (Chinese white pear), 1396 nucleotides. RefSeq lists it as uncharacterized. The record is from RefSeq and is a predicted model, not a curated record. The transcript is spliced from 2 exons. NCBI's taxonomy places the organism in Eukaryota, Viridiplantae, Streptophyta, Magnoliopsida, Rosales, Rosaceae.
GGUAUGUCUUCGGAGAUGAUGACACGAUUUUUUUCCCUGAGAAUUUUGGUGAAGAUACUUUCAAAGUAUGAUCGUGGUCUGUGAUACUACAUUGGGUCAAACUCCAAAGUUUACGAGCAAAAUAGGGUAUUCAGAUUGGAAUGGCUUAUGGUGGUGCAGGUUUCGCUACAAGUCCCCGUUGGCAAAAGUACUGGCGAAGGUGUUUGAUUCGUGUUUAGAACGAUAUCCGCAUCUCUAUGGAAGCAACUCUAGGAUUUCCUCUUGCUUGGCAGAGCUCGGCGUUGGAUUAACACGCAAACCCGAUUUCCAUCAGGUACUAUUUGUUGAGAAUAAAUCUCACAUUGAUAGAAUGAGGGAUCUUGCAAGGGCUUUUAAGUAAGUUGGACUAAUCUCUAUUAUCAAUUGAUUUUACGGUGGAACCUCAACUUUUUUUUGGUAUUAGAGCAGAUUGGCUAACAUGUGAAGCCCAACGGCCAAACGUGCUCCACAUCACACAAUUUGUGUGUUCACGUAUUUGGCUUGAAAAUUCGCCAUACAUGAGAGGGCGUGUGAGAAUGUAAAGAUAAAAGAGUCUCAUGAAAGGAGAAACCUUGCAAGUUUGGGCUACUCGUACAACUAAUUUGUUUUAUAGUGGAACCUCAACUUUCUUUACCCUUUUCUUAGCUCAUCAAAUCAAAUAUGACAUUCACAUUUUAGUAGUUUUAAUUUGAAAUAUCCGUGGGCUUUUUGUUUGUUUCUAUAUCAAAGAAACAAUAUUUUGGUUUUGGGUUGGAAAAUUGAAACAGAAUGACAUUCACGGCGAUAUGUUUGGUCUGGUGGCUUCGCAUCCAGUGACACCUUUGGUAUCCCUGCAUCAAAACAGGAGUUUAUACUUUUAACACAAGAGAACAUCACAAGGAUCCGUGUCGAAGGCCGGUUGUUUUCUUUCUGGAUAAUGUGUCUUCUGGUGCAGAUAGAAUCAAGAGCAUCUACAAGAAAUCUUAUGAAAAUUGCUUCUACGACAUGGCUUCUCCGAGGAAGCUGGAGGAGGUCAGAGUGUACUCGCAUAAGCUGAACUUUGAUAUGAAAUAGUUGCAGGCGCCGCCAAGGCAAUGUUGCGAUGUAUUAUACCUUCUUCGGGCAGCAAGGUGAUGGAAAUUGAAAUCAGAGAAUGCAAAGAAGAAGAACUAAUCCAUAUGCAUCCGUAGGGGUGUUUCGUAUUCGCAUAUAGCUGGAUUAAUUAUACAGCAAUAUUAUACCAUACAGAUCAUGUAAUAUGUAUGCCAUAAAUCACGAAUUAUUGUAGAUGUUAGGGAAAUUAAUACUACUUAAUAGUCUAAUCCGAUGUAAAUUAUGAAUGCCGUUGUAUUCGACAUUGAAAUCUGUUGUCUCGAAUUCGACUGAUUUCUUGGAUGGA